AUUGAACGCUGGCGGCAGGCCUAACACAUGCAAGUCGAACGGUAACAGGAAACAGCUUGCUGUUUCGCUGACGAGUGGCGGACGGGUGAGUAAUGUCUGGGAAACUGCCUGAUGGAGGGGGAUAACUACUGGAAACGGUAGCUAAUACCGCAUAACGUCGCAAGACCAAAGAGGGGGACCUUCGGGCCUCUUGCCAUCGGAUGUGCCCAGAUGGGAUUAGCUAGUAGGUGGGGUAACGGCUCACCUAGGCGACGAUCCCUAGCCGGUCUGAGAGGAUGACCAGCCACACUGGAACUGAGACACGGUCCAGACUCCUACGGGAGGCAGCAGUGGGGAAUAUUGCACAAUGGGCGCAAGCCUGAUGCAGCCAUGCCGCGUGUAUGAAGAAGGCCUUCGGGUUGUAAAGUACUUUCAGCGGGGAUGAAGGGAGUAAAGUUAAUACCUUUGCUCAUUGACGUUACCCGCAGAAGAAGCACCGGCUAACUCCGUG
RNAcentral lists this ribosomal RNA (490 nucleotides) under uncultured bacterium. RNAcentral describes it as "partial 16S ribosomal RNA". It matches the Rfam family "Bacterial small subunit ribosomal RNA", at positions 30 to 507 of the family's 1533-position model. The record is from RNAcentral.